This 239-nucleotide ribosomal RNA is filed under the name uncultured bacterium. Its description in RNAcentral is "partial 16S ribosomal RNA". It matches the Rfam family "Bacterial small subunit ribosomal RNA", at positions 15 to 235 of the family's 1533-position model. The record is from RNAcentral.
GAUCAUGGCUCAGGAUGAACGCUGGCGGCGUGCUUAACACAUGCAAGUCGAACGGGGAUUAUUUCGACAGAGACUUCGGUUGAAGUCGUUAUAAUCCUAGUGGCGGACGGGUGAGUAACGCGUGGGUAACCUGCCUCACACUGGGGGAUAACAGUCAGAAAUGACUGCUAAUACCGCAUAAGCGCACGGGAUUGCAUGAUCCAGUGUGAAAAACUCCGGUGGUGUAAGAUGGACCCGCG